This 253-nucleotide ribosomal RNA is filed under the name uncultured bacterium. Its description in RNAcentral is "partial 16S ribosomal RNA". It matches the Rfam family "Bacterial small subunit ribosomal RNA", at positions 524 to 776 of the family's 1533-position model. The record is from RNAcentral.
UACGUAGGUGGCAAGCGUUGUCCGGAUUUACUGGGCGUAAAGGGUGCGCAGGCGGUGGAGCAAGUCUGUUGUGAAAUCUCCCGGCUUAACCGGGAGGGUGCGGCGGAAACUGUUCUGCUGGAGUGAGGGAGAGGCAAGCGGAAUUCCUGGUGUAGCGGUGAAAUGCGUAGAUAUCUGGAGGAACAUCGGUGGCGAAGGCGGCAUCCUGGACCGGUAUUGACGCUGAGGCGCGAAAGCUAGGGUAGCAAACGGG